CCUACGGGUGGCAGCAGUGGGGAAUAUUGCGCAAUGGGGGAAACCCUGAAGCAGCAACGCCGCGUGGAGGAUGAAGGUUUUCGGAUUGUAAACUCCUUUUGGUAGAGAAGAUAAUGACGGUAUCUAAUGAAUAAGCAACGGAUAACUCCGUGCCAGCAGCCGCGGUAUUACGGAGGGUGCAAGCGUUACUCGGAAUCACUGGGCGUAAAGAGCUCGUAGGCGGGAUAGCAAGUCAGCUGUGAAAUCCUAUCGCUUAACCUUAGAACUGCAUUUGAAACUGUUAUUCUAGAGUAUGUGAGAGGGAGGUGGAAUUCCUGGUGUAGGGGUAAAAUCCGUAGAGAUCAAGAGGAAUACUCAUUGCGAAGGCGACCUGCUAGAACAUAACUGACGCUGAUGCGCGAAAGCGUGGGGAGCAAACAGGAUUAGAUACCCCGGUAGUC
Molecule: ribosomal RNA, 440 nt
Filed under: uncultured bacterium
Lineage: Bacteria
Description: partial 16S ribosomal RNA
Rfam family: Bacterial small subunit ribosomal RNA
Source: RNAcentral